GCCGGAAUAGCUCACUCAGUGUGGAGAGCGUUAGACUGAAGUUGUUUACGCAACAAUCAUCUAAAAGCCCCCGGUUCAAUCCCGGGUACCGGCA
RNAcentral lists this transfer RNA (94 nucleotides) under Dreissena polymorpha. It matches the Rfam family "tRNA". From Rfam's summary of the family: Transfer RNA (tRNA) molecules are approximately 80 nucleotides in length. Their secondary structure includes four short double-helical elements and three loops (D, anti-codon, and T loops). Lineage: Eukaryota; Metazoa; Mollusca; Bivalvia; Myida; Dreissenidae. The record is from Rfam by way of RNAcentral.